This 253-nucleotide ribosomal RNA is filed under the name uncultured bacterium. Its description in RNAcentral is "partial 16S ribosomal RNA". It matches the Rfam family "Bacterial small subunit ribosomal RNA", at positions 524 to 776 of the family's 1533-position model. RNAcentral also lists the same sequence under 1 other name. The record is from RNAcentral.
CACGUAGGAGGCGAGCGUUAUCCGGAUUCACUGGGCGUAAAGCGCGUGCAGGCGGUUUGGUAAGUUGAUCGUGAAAGCUCCCGGCUCAACUGGGAGAGGUCGUUCAAUACUACCAAACUAGAGAGUAGAAGAGGAAGAUGGAAUUCCCGGUGUAGUGGUGAAAUGCGUAGAUAUCGGGAGGAACACCAGUGGCGAAGGCGAUCUUCUGGUCUAUUUCUGACGCUCAGACGCGACAGCUAGGGUAGUAAACGGG